Molecule: RNA transcript, 1544 nt
Organism: Quercus lobata
Lineage: Eukaryota; Viridiplantae; Streptophyta; Magnoliopsida; Fagales; Fagaceae
Exons: 6
Source: RefSeq, a predicted model, not a curated record
GGAUUUUAAUUUGAGUUGGGCUUCGGUGUCCAUUAGUUUAUGAUACGAUCGAUGGAAGUGGAUUUAAUUUCAAAACGGGUAGGUUGAAGGUUUUGGGUUGAGAUCUUAAGGUUGGGCUUCGGCGUUAUGAAUUUCAGAGUGAAAUUGUUUGCAAGCUUUCGUCCUUUUUUGGUUCUUCAUUUUUGCCCGAAGACUGGGCUUCAUUUUUCUCUCUGCAAAAGUGAUGAGUUUCUUCAGCAUUCAGAGGAUGUAGAUUACUGGGACAAUGAAAAAUUGGACAACAUGGGAAGUGAUUCUGACUAUGACUCAAACAGCAUUAGGGCGCCGUUGCUUCAUCGCUGGAGGUUGAAGAUGUGCAAGCUUCUGAAAUACAGUUGAAGAUCUCUGUUGUUAGAUUACUCCGUGGAUGGUCAACUGAAUCACUUUCUUUUGCUUGUAAUUGAGAGCUUAAAGGACUAACAUAUUUGUUAGAAACAAAUUUGGAGAAGGGGAUUCAAGGAGAUGCAGCUGACUUAAUGAAGAGGAGGAAUGCAUUUGGAUCAAACACAUACCCUAGAAAAAAAGGGAGGAGUGUUUUUUUGGUAAAUUCAUUACCAAUUUAUAUUUUUGCACUCAUUUUUUUUAUUAGAGCUAUUACCCUUUCUUUUGUUGAAGAAGAGAAUAUAAGCUAUUAUAUUGUUUUAUUUUGCUGUGUCUUAGAUGUUUCUUUAAUCUGUGUAACUCAUGGUGCUUUUGUUUCCCUGCAAGACAAUACUCUUCUUUUUGUUGCAGUCUAGAAUCAUGUGAGCCACGUCCUUCUUUCUUUCUAAAGAAACAAAGCAUUUUGAUUAAAGCAAAAAGUAUCCUGUGCAGAGUUGGCUUAUUAGUAAACAAAAAACAUGUUUGUGCUACAUAAAUUCAGUAUGUCAUAGCUAACGAUUCAAUGUGAGGUGAAUAUUUUCCUUCAUCAUAGCUGUCAUGAGUAGUAUACUUAUGAGGGACAGAUUGGUAUAAUGUUGUGUUAGUGUAAUUAAUUUUAAGCCUAUACACUUCCGAAUUCUUAAAAUGGUAUCAGGGCAGCACACCACCGAUUGCCAGUGACCACGAGUCCACGACCAACUGCUUCCUGACGCCAUUGACCAUGACCACAACCAAAAGAGUAGUCUUUGCUCUUGAUGGCGAUUGAGUGGAGUUUCCGAUCUUUGAGACACUGGAAUGCCAUCAUAAGGCUUGAUUCAUUUCAAGGCAAGUGGAGAUUCGUCAGGCAUGACUUGAAAUGCACGCCUCUAUUAGAUGCAAGAUCAGAUUUGUUUCUUCACACGUGUUGCACACCUUUCUAAAAUGCAAGAUUAAAUUUUUAUGUUUAGACUUUGGUUAAAUGCUUGACUUUCUUGCGUGGAUCAUUUUGCAGACAUUGGUUAUGUUUUCUUUUUUUGUUUUUUGUUUUUUUGGGUAGUAUAUAUAUGAGAUGUAGCUUGUUAUUCUGAGCGUGUGCAAAGAGCUGUGAAUUAAUUUGUAUUUGACUUGGUUUGUUGGUUGAGUUAAAGAAAAACUAUUUGGGUAUA